This 298-nucleotide ribosomal RNA is filed under the name Escherichia coli. RNAcentral describes it as "partial 23S ribosomal RNA". It matches the Rfam family "Bacterial large subunit ribosomal RNA", at positions 1920 to 2217 of the family's 2925-position model. Lineage: Bacteria; Pseudomonadati; Pseudomonadota; Gammaproteobacteria; Enterobacterales; Enterobacteriaceae. The record is from RNAcentral.
CCGGUAAACGGCGGCCGUAACUAUAACGGUCCUAAGGUAGCGAAAUUCCUUGUCGGGUAAGUUCCGACCUGCACGAAUGGCGUAAUGAUGGCCAGGCUGUCUCCACCCGAGACUCAGUGAAAUUGAACUCGCUGUGAAGAUGCAGUGUACCCGCGGCAAGACGGAAAGACCCCGUGAACCUUUACUAUAGCUUGACACUGAACAUUGAGCCUUGAUGUGUAGGAUAGGUGGGAGGCUUUGAAGUGUGGACGCCAGUCUGCAUGGAGCCGGCCUUGAAAUACCACCCUUUAAUGUUUGA